CCGGAGCACAGCAGAGCCACCGUGCCAGAAUUCCAAAAUUGAUCGAGUAGGCCUUGGGUCUAAUUUUUUGGGUUAUUUGAGACAUGUAUAGGUACCAUAAGUGCGUUUCAGUUCCCGGAAAAAAAAUUCAGGGAACCCAGGGACCGCCCGUAGGCGCAGUGAAAAUCUAGCUUUCGGCGUCAGAUCAAGUAAGGACCCCUCACCCUUUUUUCUAUCAUGGAAUUGAAGUAUGAAUAAAUGAUAAUACUGUAUUUUGUACAAAUUAAACAGAUAUGCAUAAUUAAUUAUGGUUGCUAAUGGAGCCCGAACCGAACAUAUUUCUCUGUCAAUUCCUGUCUGAUUUAUUUUAUAGUUUAAAUGUAUUAUGGUAUCUGGUCUAUUUAUUCUAUGAUUUUAAAUGCAUGAAUCACUACUUACUUCACUACUGUUUGAUUUUGGGAAUAUAAGAUAU
RNAcentral lists this long non-coding RNA (451 nucleotides) under Carica papaya (papaya). Its description in RNAcentral is "long non-coding RNA (CPAP_LNC001316)". The record is from RNAcentral. Lineage: Eukaryota; Viridiplantae; Streptophyta; Magnoliopsida; Brassicales; Caricaceae.